CUACGGGGUGCUGCAGUGGGGAAUAUUGCACAAUGGAGGAAACUCUGAUGCAGCAACGCCGCGUGGAGGAUGACACUUUUCGGAGCGUAAACUCCUUUUAUAUAGGAAGAAGAUGACGGUACUAUAUGAAUAAGCGCCGGCUAACUCCGUGCCAGCAGCCGCGGUAAUACGGAGGGCGCAAGCGUUACUCGGAAUCACUGGGCGUAAAGAGCGUGUAGGCGGAUUAAAAAGUCAGAAGUGAAAUCCUAUAGCUUAACUAUAGAACUGCUUCUGAAACUCUUAAUCUAGAAUAUGGGAGAGGUAGAUGGAAUUUCUGGUGUAGGGGUAAAAUCCGUAGAGAUCAGAAGGAAUACCGAUUGCGAAGGCGAUCUACUAGAACAUUAUUGACGCUGAGACGCGAAAGCGUGGGGAGCAAACGGGAUUAGAUACCCCGGUAGUC
RNAcentral lists this ribosomal RNA (439 nucleotides) under uncultured bacterium. RNAcentral describes it as "partial 16S ribosomal RNA". It matches the Rfam family "Bacterial small subunit ribosomal RNA", at positions 339 to 795 of the family's 1533-position model. The record is from RNAcentral.